UGCCUUCACUACUGUAAGUCGCUCUGGAUAAGAGCGUCUGCUAAAAUGACUAAAA
Non-coding RNA from Salmo salar (Atlantic salmon), 55 nucleotides. NCBI's taxonomy places the organism in Eukaryota, Metazoa, Chordata, Actinopteri, Salmoniformes, Salmonidae. The record is from Rfam.